AGGCACGUUGUGCAACGCUCAAGGAGAGUGAGCAGUGAGCAACACGCGUGUCGUGCGUUCCUGCGUGCUCCCGGACGCAUAUGCGCACGCUCGAUGAUAAUCGACAGAAAGAGAAAGGUCAUCGGGGGGAACGAAGUUUCGCUUCCUCUUCCUUGUUGCGAUUACACGAGUAGGUAAGCGGGUACCGAAAUUGCGGAGAGUGUGACGCAACGUGCAGCUGUACGUAGGUACUUACGUGCAUAUAUGAAUAUAUGUAGGAACGGUCUCGUACACAUGCAUACAUGCAUACUUACAUGCGUGUAUUUAGAUAAAAUAUUGGAUACGCCUGCGGAAACACGGCACUGCACGACAUACAGAAUUCGCGCGUUUAUUCGUAACCGUGAGUCGCCGUCCAUUACAGGGCUCGAAACGGUACAUGAAAGAAUUUGAAUUCGACAAUUUGUAAUUUUUUCGUUUCCGUCAGUUGUUUAUGGCGCGUUAAUUUGAACUACAUAGGUACUUAUGUAGCGACCCUAGCGAGUUCUGUCGGAUCGACAGAAUAGCAGACUUCUUUGAUAUGCAUCCAAGGACAGUUAUGUUUCACGAAGACCUGUGCGAAGUCGGUAGUUGGCUUUGGCAUCGUGAGUAUUGAUCGCAACGGGAAUUCAAAGGGGAGGCCACCACGUUAGGCUACUCGAACCCCAAUUGGAUCGACCUACCUCGUAGUAGUAGGCAACAGAAGGGGGGCUCUGCCGCGGCCUAUUUCUUAGCGUAUCGAAGUUCCCCAACCAAAACGCUCAUUUUUUAAUUUACUUUAUAUCCUAGACAAAUAUCAGCUCCUGCAUGAAUAAACCAAGACAGUUUUAGACCGGCUUAGUAUUUUUGGCGUAGCCGGUUCGAACGAGAUGAUACGUUUCAGAGAAACGAAAUGGAGGACUUCAGCAGGAGACCGAUGUGCUGUUAGUUGGGAAGACCUUGAGCGUUAAUUACUCUCAGACGAGAACGACGCGAUGUACUAACUUUUUUCGCAAAAUGGCCGUACUUAUAUAAUCUUUGGCAAUGCUUUUGGCGUUGCGAUUGUAGGAACGACUGCUGCUGGCAAGAUGUGGGACUAAUUUACACGAAUUUCAUUGUUUCCAUUCUGCUCGAUCAACGUCGUGCAACACGCUGUCGUGCACCGCGAUCGUUGCAUAACGCCAUCUUUUUAAUGACCAUACGACGUCUCCGUAAUGAAGUAGUCACGCCAAGCUGUCUGCACGUGGAACAUAUAGGGUGUCCCAUUUAAUGGGAAUAUAUCAUCGGGAAUAUCUUGGAAACUGAAAUAAUUCGAUGAAGAAUAUCCGAUAAGAAUAUGUGAAAGAAAUAAACGUUGCUAACGACAGCCAAUAAACUUUGUCGGUGUCACGUUGUGGCACAUCGUUUUGAUUUAACGCGCAUACUUUUGUGUCGUCCGAGAAGGUUCGCAUGCUAGAGUUCCACAGAUAAGCACGUUCUUAUCAGCGUAUGUACUUACGUAAGCAACGAGUCGUGCUGGGUAGCAGAAGUUUGGGCGCGUCGUGGAUGACAGACAGUCACGUGGACAUGGCGCGUGCCGGAAACUGUCAAAAGAUACGAGAGAAGUCUGAUCUUGUUAAAAUGUGGUGCGGUGGCAGAAGACAAAGAUCGGUUAGCGGACAUUUAUGCAUGGACGGUGACCUCUUCGUUAUCGGUAGAUCGAAAACAACGAAUCACAGACAAAGCAGAGGUUGCAAAUCUAGUGGACGGAGCGUUUCCACGGAUUUAUCGCUGAAACGAUGGUUUCGAGGAAGCCAGAGUAAAUCGACGAAUGCACCUUGGGAUUCUUGUUACUUGCUAGCUAACUCGAUGGAUCAGCAUUGGACGCGAAACAAUAGGCGCGAACGGGUGACAUAAGAUGAGCAGCUCGACAAAAUAGUUGGUCUCCGUCGGUGGCCUCGCUCUAGAAUCGCUCUAGAUCGCCAUCUAGGGUGAGGAGGGCGCGAGGAGAAGGUGAAAGAGGAGGACAGAGCAGGGCAGGGCAAAGAGGGGCUGAGGUCAGCAGUACAACGCUGCUAGCUGCUGUACCAGCUCAAUACCAGCUCUGACCCAUUUGGCAACGUUCCCGAGUUCGGGCCACGGGAUUUCCCCGUAUGAGAUCACCGUUUUUAUUUUUCCAACUUUUUUUUUUUCUUUUCCCCUCUAUCUUACUGCCGCAUCCAUAUUUCCCAUAAUUCAUGCACCAUGGGAGAGCUUCGUGGGAAAAUAAUCGGCGCCACUACCGUUCUACCAUUCACCUAGGCACCUUUCGAAAUACGAGGAGAUUUUUCUUUUCUGAACGACACUUGAAAACUGACCUAGAUUGUAUUGGCACGAUUAAAACGAAGAAACGAGCGUGAAUAAACGAGGGUGUACAAGAUGGACCAUUAAGCUUA
Osmia bicornis bicornis is the source of this 2408-nucleotide RNA transcript. RefSeq lists it as uncharacterized. NCBI's taxonomy places the organism in Eukaryota, Metazoa, Arthropoda, Insecta, Hymenoptera, Megachilidae. The transcript has 5 exons. The record is from RefSeq and is a predicted model, not a curated record.